This 600-nucleotide ribosomal RNA is filed under the name uncultured bacterium. RNAcentral describes it as "bacterial SSU rRNA". It matches the Rfam family "Bacterial small subunit ribosomal RNA", at positions 736 to 1341 of the family's 1533-position model. The record is from RNAcentral.
GUCAACGACGCUCAUGCUCGAAGGCGCGGGUAUCAAACAGGAUUAGAUACCCUGGUAGUCCGCGCAGUAAACGAUGGACACUCGGGAUUUGCCCCUUGCGGGUGAGUCCCCCAGCGAAAGCGUUAAGUGUCCCACCUGGGGAGUACGCCGGCAACGGUGAAACUCAAAAGAAUUGACGGGGGCCCGCACAAGCGGAGGAACAUGUGGUUUAAUUCGAUGAUACGCGAGGAACCUUACCCGGGCUUGAAAUGUGACCGACGACCCCGAGAGACCGGGGUUUCCUUCGGGCGGUCAUGUAGGUGCUGCAUGGUUGUCGUCAGCUCGUGCCGUGAGGUGUCGGCUUAAGUGCCAUAACGAGCGCAACCCCUUCCGCCGGUUACCAUCGGGUCAUGCCGGGGACUCCGGCGGCACUGCCACCGCAAGGCGCGAGGUAGGAAAGGAUGACGUCAAAUCAGCACGGCCCUUACGUCCGGGGCCACACACGUGUUACAAUGGGGGGCACAGCGAGCUGGGGAUGGCGACAUUCCCCGAAUCACGAAAUCCCCUCCCAGUUCGGCCGGAGUCUGCAACCCGACUCCGCGAAGCCGGAUUCGCUAGUAA